Molecule: long non-coding RNA, 2372 nt
Filed under: Oreochromis niloticus (Nile tilapia)
Lineage: Eukaryota; Metazoa; Chordata; Actinopteri; Cichliformes; Cichlidae
Description: lncRNA (ENSONIG00000027283.1)
Source: RNAcentral
GUACUUCAUGACGAAGAGUUCCUGCAGAGCUGCUGUGAUUCUUCUGGGCCUGCUGUGUCUUCUUCUCUUGAUUGGACUCAUAACUCUGUUUUUUCUUUUCACCCAAGGCAAAUCUCAGCAGACAGUGGAGAUGAUGAUGUCAUAAAACCGUUACAAAAACCUGACCAGAAAGUGGAAUGAGUUGCAGACCAGUUACAGCAGCGUAACAACUGAACAACACCAGUUACAGACCAGGCACAGUAUUCUGAAAAUGGAACGAGACCAGCUACAGAAAAGCUACAACAAUAUGGUGGAAGACAGAGGCCAGCUCCAAAAGAGAUUUGAAGACAUGACCAAAAAUAGAGAUGAUCUUGGAGUUAAAUGUGACUCAACAAAAGUUUGAAGUUUUGAAAUAAUAGAAAUUUAGUAUCCAAAGCAGCACAUGUGUUGGUUCACCAUGUUUAAUAUAUACAGUAUAGUCACACAGUUAAAUCCACUACGAAAGAACUGAUAUAAUACUGUAAUAUUUCAGUAAAGACUGCCUUUAAUCACUUAAUUCAGCUGACUUCUUCGCUCAGGCUGAGCUAAUUCAUGAUGUGUCAGCUGGUUUUCAUUUCUCUAUUUUGUUGUUAAAAAAAUAUCACACAACCAAAUGCAGAAGUGACUCCACUACUGACAGCUGCUAGAAAUGACAAAAGCGGCAUCAGGCCUCCUAACAGUGAUGAGUUCUCUGCAGAGAUAAACUCAUUUCACUCAACCUGCAGACAUUCCUGUUUUUUUUCUUUCCUUUAACAGGUUGUCUACAAGAAUGGACGUACUUCAGUGGUAGUUUAUAUUACAUUUCUUCAAACAAGAAAUCCUGGCAAUAAAGUAGAAAUGACUGUCUCCAGAGAGGUGCAGAUCUGGAAUUCACAAGAAAUUUUCAAAAGCUGAUGUGGACAGGAUUGACUGACAGUGAGCAAGAGGGGAUCUGGAAAUGGAUGGAUGGGCCUCUGCUUAUUACAAGCAACUGGGCUGCGUAUGAGCCAAACAGUUUUCCACAAAGAGAUGAGGACUGUGCAGAAAUAAAGAACUUUCAUUUCCAAAAUGCCUAGAAUGAUGAAUCAUGUGACCUUGAGAGAGUCUGGAUCUGCGAGAAGAAACUGGUUACAUAAAUCAGUAUCCAAACUCAUCACACAGUGAUGGAAAACAGAAAAGAAGUUCAUGAAAUGUAUAUGACUGAUCCUGUCAGCUCACUGUUAUCUACAGUAUAAGCUUUGCAUCAAAAGUCCUUAUUAUCACUUCCUUGUACAUGACAGUGUGUGAUAUAUGCUAAAUAAACAAUCUCUGUAUUCUGUAUAUCUGUAUAUAGUAUAUCCCACAUAUAUUUGGGAAGUAUGCAUAUUUCCACAGUAGCAGUCAGGUACAGGUGAUCAAAUGCAUUGGAUUAACUGAUCAUCAGUAAUUGUGAGCACCUUUAUAUUAGCAGAGGUUUUAGCAGUUAGCUGGUCUGGAGUAUUCAGGUGUGUUAAUCUGAUUAACUUAAAUAAAGACACACUGUUCAUGUAACUUAGACUCAACUUUAUAUAAGAUCCUUGCACAGUUCACAACUGACUUCUAACGUUGGUUUCAAAUGCUAUUUGGGAGAGUCACGGUGUGCUUUUCUAGAGACUAGAGCUACACUUUGUGGCUGCCCUGUGAAUAAUUUAGAUUUAUAAAAACAAAUCUGAGGUGCUUGGGCAGGAAUGGCAGUCACUUUAUACUCUACACAAUCAUGCAUGUAACGUUUGCUAUGUCCAGAUGAACUGAAUCAACCUUUUGGGAAUAAUGCAUGUACACAUGCUUUAUUUUUAUUUUUUUUUAACCUGUCCCGUUUGGUUCUUUUGCCAUCAGAAUUAUUGUCUAAAGGCGAAGAAAGAUGCCAGGAGGGAUAUUAGACCCCUUCUGUCAAAAUAUUCAUGAGCUUUUUGAGUGUUAGGUUCUAUGAAUUAUUCAUGAGCUCAGGAAGUAAUUAAAUUAUGAUAAUAAUUAAAUUAUGAUAAUAAUUAAAUUAUGAUAUUCAUAAAAAUUAUGAUUUUCAUAAAAAUAUGAUAUUCAUCCAAAAUAUGCUAGUUCAUUGCUUUUCUUCCCCCAAAAAUAAGAACUAAUUGCUUAUUUUAGAAAAGUUUUUAUAUCAAAUAACAUUCUUUUAUUUUUUUAAUCCAAUAAAAACUUUUUCCUUUUUUCCCUAAAGAAACGCCAUCUGGUGGUGGGUCAGCGCAUGACAGCGCAUGAGUGCACAGGGCGCGCACGAGCGCGCCUGUGUGUCUAGGCGCGCUCGUGCGCGCGCCUGACUCGGGACCGUGCUUCUGUGGGGGCUCCGUGUUUAUGGGUGAAAAUGUGUUAAACCAGUAUAAAUGUGCUUAGUUAAACUU